AGUUCGGAUUGCAGCCUGCAACUCGGCUGCAUGAAGCUGGAAUCGCUAGUAAUCGCGGAUCAGAAUGCCGCGGUGAAUACGUUCCCGGGUCUUGUACACACCGCCCGUCACACCAUGGGAGUAGGUAAUGCCCGAAGUCGGUGACCUAACCGGAAGGAAGGAGCCGCCGAAGGCAGGACUUAUAACUGGGGUGAAGUCGUAACAAGGUAUC
Molecule: ribosomal RNA, 211 nt
Filed under: uncultured bacterium
Lineage: Bacteria
Description: partial 16S ribosomal RNA
Rfam family: Bacterial small subunit ribosomal RNA
Source: RNAcentral